UGGGGAAUUUUGGAUAAUGGGCGCAAGCCUGAUCCAGCCAUGCCGCGUGCGGGAAGAAGGCCUUCGGGUUGUAAACCGCUUUUGUCAGGGAAGAAAUCUUCUGAGUUAAUACCUCGGGAGGAUGACGGUACCUGAAGAAUAAGCACCGGCUAACCACGUGCCAGCAGCCGCGGUAAUACGUAGGGUGCAAGCGUUAAUCGGAAUUACUGGGCGUAAAGCGUGCGCAGGCGGUUUUGUAAGACAGAGGUGAAAUCCCCGGGCUCAACCUGGGAACUGCCUUUGUGACUGCAAGGCUUGAGUGCGGCAGAGGGGGAUGGAAUUCCGCGUGUAGCAGUGAAAUGCGUAGAUAUGCGGAGGAACACCGAUGGCGAAGGCAAUCCCCUGGGCCUGCACUGACGCUCAUGCACGAAAGCGUGGGGAGCAAACAGGAUUAGAUACCCUGGUAGUCCACGCCCUAAACGAUGUCAACUGGUUGUUGGGAAGGUUCCUUCUCAGUAACGUAGCUAACGCGUGAAGUUGACCGCCUGGGGAGUACGGCCGCAAGGUUG
Molecule: ribosomal RNA, 548 nt
Filed under: uncultured bacterium
Lineage: Bacteria
Description: partial 16S ribosomal RNA
Rfam family: Bacterial small subunit ribosomal RNA
Source: RNAcentral